CACAGAACCAAGAGAUUCAGUGCCACUGCACAUACCUCUUUAUCCGCUGAUGAAUGGAAACCAAAGUCAGUUCUCCUGUCCAGAUCCUGAAUGUGACGCUAAGCAGCCACAUAUUCAACCUCAGCUGCAAAAACGACAUAGACACGCGAUACAGCGCAGGAAUCUAGCCUGACACGGGACUUUCCUCAGAAACCUGGAACGGCCGUCGCGAGCGCAUUGAGCGGUGGCUUCACGUGGUCCUGUUGUGAAGUCCUCAGCUUUGGUGUAUUUACACAUUCCUCCUCCACAGUUCUCACCUGCACUCAACACCUUGUUGUCCUCCAUA
Molecule: long non-coding RNA, 325 nt
Organism: Triplophysa dalaica
Lineage: Eukaryota; Metazoa; Chordata; Actinopteri; Cypriniformes; Nemacheilidae
Exons: 3
Source: RefSeq, a predicted model, not a curated record